This 253-nucleotide ribosomal RNA is filed under the name uncultured bacterium. Its description in RNAcentral is "partial 16S ribosomal RNA". It matches the Rfam family "Bacterial small subunit ribosomal RNA", at positions 524 to 776 of the family's 1533-position model. The record is from RNAcentral.
UACAGGGGGUGCAAACGUUGCUCGGAAUCAUUGGGCGUAAAGCGCACGUAGGCGGUUCGUUAUGUCGGAUGUGAAAGCCCUUGGCUUAACCGAGGAAGUGCAUCCGAAACUGGCGAGCUAGAGUACGAAAGAGGAUCGCGGAAUUCCUGGUGUAGCGGUGAAAUGCGCAGAUAUCAGGAGGAACACCGGUGGCGAAGGCGGGUCUCUGGGCAACAACUGACGCUGAGGAGCGAAAGCGUGGGGAGCGAACAGG